This is a long non-coding RNA of Photinus pyralis (common eastern firefly), 526 nucleotides long. RefSeq lists it as uncharacterized. NCBI's taxonomy places the organism in Eukaryota, Metazoa, Arthropoda, Insecta, Coleoptera, Lampyridae. The record is from RefSeq and is a predicted model, not a curated record. The transcript is spliced from 2 exons.
UCGAGAGAGGUGUCCACAGAGGCGCUGUAAUUUUUCUAAUUGUUUGCAAGUUGUCCCAGAUUUUUAAGAUAAUCACAGGAGCCGCAAUUAAUUAAAAACCGAAUUAUUUUCUACACCGCUCGGUGCGAAUGCAGCGAGGCUUUGGAAAUUCCCUGUUCCACUUCCACCAAAAUUGGUUUCCUUUAAAAGGAAAAUGCUCAUUUUGGGAGGGAUCUUUUCUGCUUCAUACUUUCGAGUUGAAAUUUACCGUCCGGGCCGUUGGCCAUAUUUUGUUUUAGAUUAUCCGGAAGUGACCGCCGCCAUUUUGUGGUGAACCCUGACCGAUCCCUGGUUAUUCCGUUCUCCACUUGAGGAUACCCGGAGGCUUUCCACCCCGUCCGCGAAGACCGCACCGCCCCUUUUCCCAAGACUUAGGGGGUGCAGAUUAAGUCUUGGUGGCGCCCGAGUGACCGACCGACCGUCCCCGGUGUAAUAAUUGAAUUGUACAAUUAUAUUAUUGUUCGACAAUUAAAUGAACUUGAAAUAA